Molecule: ribosomal RNA, 301 nt
Filed under: uncultured bacterium
Lineage: Bacteria
Description: partial 16S ribosomal RNA
Rfam family: Bacterial small subunit ribosomal RNA
Source: RNAcentral
CAGCCGCCACGGUAAUACGUAGGGUGCAAGCGUUAAUCGGAAUUACUGGGCGUAAAGCGUGCGCAGGCGGUGUUGUAAGACUGAUGUGAAAUCCCCGGGCUCAACCUGGGAAUUGCAGUGGAUACUGGGUCACUAGAGUGUGGUAGAGGAUAGUGGAAUUUCCGGUGUAGCAGUGAAAUGCGUAGAGAUCGGAAGGAACAUCUGUGGCGAAGGCGACUAUCUGGGCCAACACUGACACUGAGGCACGAAAGCGUGGGGAGCAAACAGGAUUAGAUACCCGGGUAGUCCCUGUCUCUUAUAC